CCUUUGGCUAGGCUUAUAACCGAAAAGCGAGAAGCCCCCUCGCCUGCCAAAGACUAUUCAGGGGC
RNAcentral lists this non-coding RNA (65 nucleotides) under unclassified sequences. Its description in RNAcentral is "int-alpA RNA". It matches the Rfam family "int-alpA RNA". Rfam says of the family: Acidobacteria (1 example), Planctomycetes (1 example), Proteobacteria. Environment (Lake Washington) The record is from Rfam by way of RNAcentral.